This is a long non-coding RNA of Mesocricetus auratus (golden hamster), 506 nucleotides long. RefSeq lists it as uncharacterized. The transcript has 2 exons. The record is from RefSeq and is a predicted model, not a curated record. Lineage: Eukaryota; Metazoa; Chordata; Mammalia; Rodentia; Cricetidae.
UCUCUCAAGGAAAUGCUUGAGAGGGAAAGGGAACACAAGCCAACAUUAGGCCAGGAAGUCAUUUUAGUGACAUUUGGGUAAGGUCUUGAAAGCAGCUGUUACUGGAUAGUUAAGUCUGAAAGAAGGAAAUAAUGAAGAAAACCAUCUGAAUUAAGGUGCCCUUUAUUUCUUAAUAAUUUUUUCAGCUUUGAUAGAUGGGAUCUAUUCCAAAAUGUCCAAAAAAAAACAUUGUUGCUAUAGAAACAGCAAGAUCGUGAGAGGAGAAAGGUAUCAAAGACCCAGCAACCAGCUGCCUUGCCCGGCUACUUUGGGGUUCAGUUCUUCCUUCCUGGGACUACCCUGGACCUCACCUUGGGGACCUGCUGAAACCAGAGUUCUGAACGGAACUUUGCAUACAGAUGGAGACUCAGGGAUGAAUAAACAGGCAGCCCUGUGUUCCUCUCCCCUUUUGUUUUAUUUCAAAUGAAAACAAUCUUGAUAAAAAUGAAUACAAUAUGUUCAUUCUA